GUUCAGGUUCUAGUCCGAGGUUAAUUGCAAAGUAUGGAGUCACAUAUGAAAACGUUGAACCUAGAUCCAUUAUGGCAUAAGCAUUAUGUGAGCAGACAAAAAGUAUACCUGUAAUAACUUCUGCAGAUGCCUCUGCAUUCUGACGAUCAAGUGUAGCAAGCAAAUGAGGUUGUCCCCCUCCCUGAGUAACUCGGUGUGCACCUCUGCCUGCUCCAUGCCCGGUUUGAUUAUGAGACCACGAGCCUGAGGUGGUGCAACUGCUGUAGAUGAGGAACUAGAAGGACGAGUGGAUCCACUACUGAAAUUACGUUGCAACUUUGGGCACUUGGACUUUAUAUGACCAAUGUCUCCACAAUGAUAUCAACCACGAAACCCAAGCUUAAACUGACUUGAAUGUUGCCGCUUACAUAUUCCACUAAUACCUUGUUGGUGUGAAUGUUGCUCAGCAUGACUCUGGCUAUGUGAGGAUGAUGUCCUAAA
RNAcentral lists this long non-coding RNA (480 nucleotides) under Nicotiana benthamiana. RNAcentral describes it as "long non-coding RNA (NBEN_LNC002291)". Lineage: Eukaryota; Viridiplantae; Streptophyta; Magnoliopsida; Solanales; Solanaceae. The record is from RNAcentral.